RNAcentral lists this ribosomal RNA (2904 nucleotides) under Escherichia coli. Its description in RNAcentral is "23S ribosomal RNA". It matches the Rfam family "Bacterial large subunit ribosomal RNA". Lineage: Bacteria; Pseudomonadati; Pseudomonadota; Gammaproteobacteria; Enterobacterales; Enterobacteriaceae. The record is from RNAcentral.
GGUUAAGCGACUAAGCGUACACGGUGGAUGCCCUGGCAGUCAGAGGCGAUGAAGGACGUGCUAAUCUGCGAUAAGCGUCGGUAAGGUGAUAUGAACCGUUAUAACCGGCGAUUUCCGAAUGGGGAAACCCAGUGUGUUUCGACACACUAUCAUUAACUGAAUCCAUAGGUUAAUGAGGCGAACCGGGGGAACUGAAACAUCUAAGUACCCCGAGGAAAAGAAAUCAACCGAGAUUCCCCCAGUAGCGGCGAGCGAACGGGGAGGAGCCCAGAGCCUGAAUCAGUGUGUGUGUUAGUGGAAGCGUCUGGAAAGGCGCGCGAUACAGGGUGACAGCCCCGUACACAAAAAUGCACAUGCUGUGAGCUCGAUGAGUAGGGCGGGACACGUGGUAUCCUGUCUGAAUAUGGGGGGACCAUCCUCCAAGGCUAAAUACUCCUGACUGACCGAUAGUGAACCAGUACCGUGAGGGAAAGGCGAAAAGAACCCCGGCGAGGGGAGUGAAAAAGAACCUGAAACCGUGUACGUACAAGCAGUGGGAGCACGCUUAGGCGUGUGACUGCGUACCUUUUGUAUAAUGGGUCAGCGACUUAUAUUCUGUAGCAAGGUUAACCGAAUAGGGGAGCCGAAGGGAAACCGAGUCUUAACUGGGCGUUAAGUUGCAGGGUAUAGACCCGAAACCCGGUGAUCUAGCCAUGGGCAGGUUGAAGGUUGGGUAACACUAACUGGAGGACCGAACCGACUAAUGUUGAAAAAUUAGCGGAUGACUUGUGGCUGGGGGUGAAAGGCCAAUCAAACCGGGAGAUAGCUGGUUCUCCCCGAAAGCUAUUUAGGUAGCGCCUCGUGAAUUCAUCUCCGGGGGUAGAGCACUGUUUCGGCAAGGGGGUCAUCCCGACUUACCAACCCGAUGCAAACUGCGAAUACCGGAGAAUGUUAUCACGGGAGACACACGGCGGGUGCUAACGUCCGUCGUGAAGAGGGAAACAACCCAGACCGCCAGCUAAGGUCCCAAAGUCAUGGUUAAGUGGGAAACGAUGUGGGAAGGCCCAGACAGCCAGGAUGUUGGCUUAGAAGCAGCCAUCAUUUAAAGAAAGCGUAAUAGCUCACUGGUCGAGUCGGCCUGCGCGGAAGAUGUAACGGGGCUAAACCAUGCACCGAAGCUGCGGCAGCGACGCUUAUGCGUUGUUGGGUAGGGGAGCGUUCUGUAAGCCUGUGAAGGUGUGCUGUGAGGCAUGCUGGAGGUAUCAGAAGUGCGAAUGCUGACAUAAGUAACGAUAAAGCGGGUGAAAAGCCCGCUCGCCGGAAGACCAAGGGUUCCUGUCCAACGUUAAUCGGGGCAGGGUGAGUCGACCCCUAAGGCGAGGCCGAAAGGCGUAGUCGAUGGGAAACAGGUUAAUAUUCCUGUACUUGGUGUUACUGCGAAGGGGGGACGGAGAAGGCUAUGUUGGCCGGGCGACGGUUGUCCCGGUUUAAGCGUGUAGGCUGGUUUUCCAGGCAAAUCCGGAAAAUCAAGGCUGAGGCGUGAUGACGAGGCACUACGGUGCUGAAGCAACAAAUGCCCUGCUUCCAGGAAAAGCCUCUAAGCAUCAGGUAACAUCAAAUCGUACCCCAAACCGACACAGGUGGUCAGGUAGAGAAUACCAAGGCGCUUGAGAGAACUCGGGUGAAGGAACUAGGCAAAAUGGUGCCGUAACUUCGGGAGAAGGCACGCUGAUAUGUAGGUGAAGUCCCUCGCGGAUGGAGCUGAAAUCAGUCGAAGAUACCAGCUGGCUGCAACUGUUUAUUAAAAACACAGCACUGUGCAAACACGAAAGUGGACGUAUACGGUGUGACGCCUGCCCGGUGCCGGAAGGUUAAUUGAUGGGGUUAGCGCAAGCGAAGCUCUUGAUCGAAGCCCCGGUAAACGGCGGCCGUAACUAUAACGGUCCUAAGGUAGCGAAAUUCCUUGUCGGGUAAGUUCCGACCUGCACGAAUGGCGUAAUGAUGGCCAGGCUGUCUCCACCCGAGACUCAGUGAAAUUGAACUCGCUGUGAAGAUGCAGUGUACCCGCGGCAAGACGGAAAGACCCCGUGAACCUUUACUAUAGCUUGACACUGAACAUUGAGCCUUGAUGUGUAGGAUAGGUGGGAGGCUUUGAAGUGUGGACGCCAGUCUGCAUGGAGCCGACCUUGAAAUACCACCCUUUAAUGUUUGAUGUUCUAACGUUGACCCGUAAUCCGGGUUGCGGACAGUGUCUGGUGGGUAGUUUGACUGGGGCGGUCUCCUCCUAAAGAGUAACGGAGGAGCACGAAGGUUGGCUAAUCCUGGUCGGACAUCAGGAGGUUAGUGCAAUGGCAUAAGCCAGCUUGACUGCGAGCGUGACGGCGCGAGCAGGUGCGAAAGCAGGUCAUAGUGAUCCGGUGGUUCUGAAUGGAAGGGCCAUCGCUCAACGGAUAAAAGGUACUCCGGGGAUAACAGGCUGAUACCGCCCAAGAGUUCAUAUCGACGGCGGUGUUUGGCACCUCGAUGUCGGCUCAUCACAUCCUGGGGCUGAAGUAGGUCCCAAGGGUAUGGCUGUUCGCCAUUUAAAGUGGUACGCGAGCUGGGUUUAGAACGUCGUGAGACAGUUCGGUCCCUAUCUGCCGUGGGCGCUGGAGAACUGAGGGGGGCUGCUCCUAGUACGAGAGGACCGGAGUGGACGCAUCACUGGUGUUCGGGUUGUCAUGCCAAUGGCACUGCCCGGUAGCUAAAUGCGGAAGAGAUAAGUGCUGAAAGCAUCUAAGCACGAAACUUGCCCCGAGAUGAGUUCUCCCUGACUCCUUGAGAGUCCUGAAGGAACGUUGAAGACGACGACGUUGAUAGGCCGGGUGUGUAAGCGCAGCGAUGCGUUGAGCUAACCGGUACUAAUGAACCGUGAGGCUUAACCUU